This 905-nucleotide ribosomal RNA is filed under the name Lactiplantibacillus plantarum. RNAcentral's name for it is "bacterial SSU rRNA". It matches the Rfam family "Bacterial small subunit ribosomal RNA", at positions 535 to 1442 of the family's 1533-position model. The record is from RNAcentral. Lineage: Bacteria; Bacillati; Bacillota; Bacilli; Lactobacillales; Lactobacillaceae.
CAAGCGUGUCCGGAUUUUUGGGCGUAAAGCGAGCGCAGGCGGUUUUUUAAGUCUGAUGUGAAAGCCUUCGGCUCAACCGAAGAAGUGCAUCGGAAACUGGGAAACUUGAGUGCAGAAGAGGACAGUGGAACUCCAUGUGUAGCGGUGAAAUGCGUAGAUAUAUGGAAGAACACCAGUGGCGAAGGCGGCUGUCUGGUCUGUAACUGACGCUGAGGCUCGAAAGUAUGGGUAGCAAACAGGAUUAGAUACCCUGGUAGUCCAUACCGUAAACGAUGAAUGCUAAGUGUUGGAGGGUUUCCGCCCUUCAGUGCUGCAGCUAACGCAUUAAGCAUUCCGCCUGGGGAGUACGGCCGCAAGGCUGAAACUCAAAGGAAUUGACGGGGGCCCGCACAAGCGGUGGAGCAUGUGGUUUAAUUCGAAGCUACGCGAAGAACCUUACCAGGUCUUGACAUACUAUGCAAAUCUAAGAGAUUAGACGUUCCCUUCGGGGACAUGGAUACAGGUGGUGCAUGGUUGUCGUCAGCUCGUGUCGUGAGAUGUUGGGUUAAGUCCCGCAACGAGCGCAACCCUUAUUAUCAGUUGCCAGCAUUAAGUUGGGCACUCUGGUGAGACUGCCGGUGACAAACCGGAGGAAGGUGGGGAUGACGUCAAAUCAUCAUGCCCCUUAUGACCUGGGCUACACACGUGCUACAAUGGAUGGUACAACGAGUUGCGAACUCGCGAGAGUAAGCUAAUCUCUUAAAGCCAUUCUCAGUUCGGAUUGUAGGCUGCAACUCGCCUACAUGAAGUCGGAAUCGCUAGUAAUCGCGGAUCAGCAUGCCGCGGUGAAUACGUUCCCGGGCCUUGUACACACCGCCCGUCACACCAUGAGAGUUUGUAACACCCAAAGUCGGUGGGGUACCCCU